Molecule: ribosomal RNA, 465 nt
Filed under: uncultured bacterium
Lineage: Bacteria
Description: partial 16S ribosomal RNA
Rfam family: Bacterial small subunit ribosomal RNA
Source: RNAcentral
GACGAACGCUGGCGGCGUGCUUAACACAUGCAAGUCGAACGGAAAGGCCCUGCUUGCAGUGUACUCGAGUGGCGAACGGGUGAGUAACACGUGGGUGAUCUGCCCUGCACUUCGGGAUAAGCCUGGGAAACUGGGUCUAAUACCGGAUAGGAGCCAUUUUUAGUGUGAUGGUUGGAAAGUUUUUUCGGUUUAGGAUGAGCUCGCGGCCUAUCAGCUUGUUGGUGGGGCAAUGGCCUACCAAGGCGGCGUCGGGUAGCCGGCCUGAGAGGGUGGACGGCCACAUUGGGACUGAGGUGCGGCCCAGACUCCUACGGGAGGCAGCUGGGGGGAAGAUUGCACAAUGGGCGCAAGCCUGAUGCAGCGACGCCGCGGGGGGGAUGACGGCCUUCGGGUUGUAGACUCCUUUCGCUAGGGACGAAGCUUUUUGUGACGGUACCUAGAUAAGAAGCACCGGCUAACUACGUG